This 353-nucleotide long non-coding RNA is filed under the name Mus pahari (shrew mouse). Its description in RNAcentral is "lncRNA (MGP_PahariEiJ_G0003956.1)". The record is from RNAcentral. Lineage: Eukaryota; Metazoa; Chordata; Mammalia; Rodentia; Muridae.
UGGAGAACAAUUGAUUUAGCAACUCAAAGAAAUAUUGAAAGACACCGUUUCUGAAACUCCCUUACAAGCAGAAACCUGGUGCCAAUCACAUCUGGAAUUGACCUAUUGCUACAAACACAUUGGGAACUUCGGAAAUGCAUGUGCAAGCUGGGAGAGUCUCCUCUAGGCCUGGUCAGUAACUCCUCCUGCCGAAGAACCAUGAGCUGAUAAACACCCAUGCAGAAAGGCCAAGACAGAGAAAAAUGACAACCUGCUCUUCAUAGACAUCAAGAGAGACUGAGGAUAUACAGAGUAUAUACACUAUAUAUAUACACAGAAUAUACAGAGAAUAUAUAUAGGUAUGUGAUAAUAAA